CCAGUCAAAAAAAUAUGUUUGUCGGUUGUUUGAGCUUCACUCUGCAGGAUGAUGUAUGUUUGACACUAGGAGGAUGUUUUUACAUUAAUCUGCUGAACGUGGAAAGUUUCUCUGUGCUAAUUCCCAAUUUCCCAAAUACUCACAGUGUGUUUUGGGGUCAAUUAUAGGCUUUAAUAUGCCAAAUGAAUAUGAUGCUGUCACAGUGCUAUUAUGUAUGAUAUAUUGCUGGAGCUUUUUUGUGCUCAAUUCAGUUCUCUUAUAUUAUAAAAUCUGUGUUUAACUCACUUUUACCAACAUCUUCUCACUUGUCUUUUAGGCUUAAUGAAGGAAAUCAAUAUGAGACGAUGGCUUUUACAUAGAUUUACUUUAUCAGCGAUCCUCCAGAAGAGAGAUGUUAAUCUGAGACGCUGUUUGACACAUUUGGACGCAGCCCAUAAAGAUCAGCUGAGUGAUCCUGAUUCAGGCAACACAUGACCUGUUUUAGAGACAUGUCGCUGUCACAUACCGCCUGUGUUCAACCGGUUAUCCCAGUGUGAUAACGUGAAAGUGCGUGUGAAUUAGGCCCUGAGGAAGUGAGCCGACACAAACAGCUUUGCGGCUCAGGUCCAAGGACACGAGACCACAGACGCUCCAAUGUUCCCCCUCAACACUGAACCAAGUGACCCAGAACCCCACAGAACUCACUCGGCUGGCUGGCUGGAAAACUGGAGGCUGCCAUGAUCAC
Molecule: long non-coding RNA, 724 nt
Organism: Dicentrarchus labrax (European seabass)
Lineage: Eukaryota; Metazoa; Chordata; Actinopteri; Moronidae
Exons: 3
Source: RefSeq, a predicted model, not a curated record